GUGCUUGCUUCAGCAGCAUAUAUACUAAAAUUGGAACAACGACACAGAGAAGAUUAGCAUGGUCUCUGCGCAAGGAUGGCACAAAAUCCUGUGAUCCUAGCUGAGUACUG
Monodelphis domestica (gray short-tailed opossum) is the source of this 110-nucleotide small nuclear RNA. The record is from RefSeq and is a predicted model, not a curated record. Lineage: Eukaryota; Metazoa; Chordata; Mammalia; Didelphimorphia; Didelphidae.